AUAAAGGCCUAAAGCGGAAGUGUCUUUAGGCAGCCAUUUUUCUCGCCGGCACCACCUAUCUGAUACAGUCAGUGAAAAAGCCGAAAAAUUACAAUUUACGGUUGUAAUUGUCCAGUUACUGAUUUGCUUUUUUAGACUAUAUUCAGAGUGACUACCCGCAAUGAGUUGGAACACACACGUUGAGAGCCUGAUGAAUGGUCCAGGUAUGAAGAUGGCAGGACUUUUUGGAAUGGACGGAAAUCCAUGGGCAAAAUCCAGCGCUUUCAACCCGACACAGCCAGAAAUAGGUCGAUUGAUUAAGCUUGUUCAAGGAAAGGACAUUGGUGGCGAAAGUAUUACGAUAUGUGGAACGAAGUACAUGUUCAGGAGUCCGGCUGAGGAUGGACUUUUAACAGUAUUAUCGUUAGGCGGCGAGGAAAAAUAUGUUUGUAAUGUCUGCCAGACAACGAAGGGAGUAAUCGUGGGAGUGUCACAGGCCUCGGUAGCAGGAGCGUCAAGAGACUAUCUAGAUAAAUAUAAGAACUAUUUGAAAGGAAUAGGAUAUUAGAGAGAAUUCAGCAUCGUUCAUAAAGUGUACAUAAAGUAUGAUCAGUUCAUUAUAUGCGGGUAAUCUGCGAUUAGUGUUAUAUUAAAGUUAUACAUUUAAAUUUCUCAUUUUAGACUUUAAGAAAGAAAUGAACAAACAUAUAAAUGCAAUUACUUUUGUUGAAAUAUUUUAGAAUUUAUUUAGUUAUUCACAGAUCAUUCAAAAUACUACUUCAGCAUUCAAACACAAAGUAGGUUUUUAUCAUGGAACAGAGAUGAUGCACAGUAUUAUGGAUUUAAGAUAUUUGAAGGGAGUGUUGUGGGUGGGGGGGUGGCUUUUCCGUAUUGAGGAAAUGUCAGAUUUUUACUUGAAUUAUUAAAACACAAUAUACAAACAAUACUCAUAUGACUUGUAAUCAUUGGUUGUCUAAAAUGUGUUAGGAAAGAACAAAACUUUUAAGUUCAUAAUACAAAGGAAUUUAUUCAUUUGUUCUGUUACUAAGGCACUACAAAGUCAUGUGACAUAAAAGAUUAAGAUUCGUGUAAUUUCAACUUUAUAUCAAACUACGUGCUGUAAACUGAAAAAACACAUACCAUAGAAAGAAUUGUUCAACAAAGACUUUUCUCUGAGCUUUAAAGACGGAAACAUUCAAACAUGAUGAAGACAUAACUGGGUGAUUGGAUGUUGUUUAGAAUCACAGACUGAUUUGGGAUGAAGAAUGACAACUGCACAGAGCUUCUUUUUUUACUCGUUCCAUUGCUAUAUUUAUUGUACCGGUACAUAGAUAUCUUCUUUAUGAAAUACUGUCUUCCUAUAGCAGAAACAUUCUGAACAAACAUAAAAGUUAUGAAUUUCUGUCCUAAAUGUGUUAAUUAUGUUUAUAUUUGUGCCAUUAUUGUCAGAACAUCCUGUGUAUGAUUUGAGUUUUUCGUUUUAAAAUGUUCUCACUGUUUUUCUCUAAGUUUCUUGAAAAGCAUAAAAAAUGCAUUGAUGUUUGAUUAAAGUUGAAAGGAAAGCUGCA
This is a long non-coding RNA of Mercenaria mercenaria, 1547 nucleotides long. RefSeq lists it as uncharacterized. The transcript has 2 exons. The record is from RefSeq and is a predicted model, not a curated record. NCBI's taxonomy places the organism in Eukaryota, Metazoa, Mollusca, Bivalvia, Venerida, Veneridae.